RNAcentral lists this ribosomal RNA (2901 nucleotides) under Streptococcus pneumoniae. RNAcentral's name for it is "bacterial LSU rRNA". It matches the Rfam family "Bacterial large subunit ribosomal RNA". The record is from RNAcentral. Lineage: Bacteria; Bacillati; Bacillota; Bacilli; Lactobacillales; Streptococcaceae.
UUAAGUUAAUAAGGGCGCACGGUGGAUGCCUUGGCACUAGGAGCCGACGAAGGACGUGACAAACGACGAUAUGCCUUGGGUAGCUGUAAGUAAGCGAUGAUCCAGGGAUUUCCGAAUGGGGGAACCCAACAGGUAAUACCUGUUACCUACAUCUGUUAAGGAUGUGAGGAGGAAGACGCAGUGAACUGAAACAUCUAAGUAGCUGCAGGAAGAGAAAGCAAAAGCGAUUGCCUUAGUAGCGGCGAGCGAAACGGCAGAAGGGCAAACCGAAGAGUUUACUCUUCGGGGUUGUAGGACUGCAAUGUGGACUCAAAGAUUAUAGAAGAAUGAUUUGGGAAGAUCAGCCAAAGAGAGUAAUAGCCUCGUAUUUAAAAUAGUCUUUGUACUUAGCAGUAUCCUGAGUACGGCGGGACACGUGAAAUCCCGUCGGAAUCUGGGAGGACCAUCUCCCAACCCUAAAUACUCCCUAGUGACCGAUAGUGAACCAGUACCGUGAGGGAAAGGUGAAAAGCACCCCGGGAGGGGAGUGAAAUAGAACCUGAAACCGUGUGCCUACAACAAGUUCGAGCCCGUUAAUGGGUGAGAGCGUGCCUUUUGUAGAAUGAACCGGCGAGUUACGUUAUGAUGCGAGGUUAAGUUGAAGAGACGGAGCCGUAGGGAAACCGAGUCUGAAUAGGGCGCCUUAGUAUCAUGACGUAGACCCGAAACCAUGUGACCUACCCAUGAGCAGGUUGAAGGUGCGGUAAGACGCACUGGAGGACCGAACCAGGGCACGUUGAAAAGUGCUUGGAUGACUUGUGGGUAGCGGAGAAAUUCCAAACGAACUUGGAGAUAGCUGGUUCUCUCCGAAAUAGCUUUAGGGCUAGCGUCGACAUUAGAGAUUCUUGGAGGUAGAGCACUGUUUGGGUGAGGGGUCCAUCCCGGAUUACCAAUCUCAGAUAAACUCCGAAUGCCAAUGAAUUAUGGUCGGCAGUCAGACUGCGAGUGCUAAGAUCCGUAGUCGAAAGGGAAACAGCCCAGACCACCAGCUAAGGUCCCAAAAUAAUUGUUAAGUGGAAAAGGAUGUGGGGUUGCACAGACAACUAGGAUGUUAGCUUAGAAGCAGCUAUUCAUUCAAAGAGUGCGUAAUUGCUCACUAGUCGAGUGGCCCUGCGCCGAAAAUGUACCGGGGCUAAAACAAUUUACCGAAGCUGUGGAUACCUUUAUAGGUAUGGUAGGAGAGCGUUCUAUGUGUGAUGAAGGUAUACCGUGAGGAGUGCUGGAACGCAUAGAAGUGAGAAUGCCGGUAUGAGUAGCGAAAGACAGGUGAGAAUCCUGUCCACCGUAAGACUAAGGUUUCCAGGGGAAGGCUCGUCCGCCCUGGGUUAGUCGGGACCUAAGGAGAGACCGAAAGGUGUAUCCGAUGGACAACAGGUUGAUAUUCCUGUACUAGAGUAUGUAGUGAUGGAGGGACGCAGUAGGCUAACUAAAGCAGACGAUUGGAAGAGUCUGUCUAAGCAGUGAGGUGUGAAUUGAGUCAAAUGCUUAAUUCUAUAACAUUGAGCUGUGAUGGGGAGCGAAGUUUAGUAGCGAAGUUAGUGACGUCACACUGCCAAGAAAAGCUUCUAGCGUUUAAACAUACUCUACCCGUACCGCAAACCGACACAGGUAGUCGAGGCGAGUAGCCUCAGGUGAGCGAGAGAACUCUCGUUAAGGAACUCGGCAAAAUGACCCCGUAACUUCGGGAGAAGGGGUGCUGACUUAAAGUCAGCCGCAGUGAAUAGGCCCAAGCAACUGUUUAUCAAAAACACAGCUCUCUGCUAAAUCGUAAGAUGAUGUAUAGGGGGUGACGCCUGCCCGGUGCUGGAAGGUUAAGAGGAGUGCUUAGCGUAAGCGAAGGUAUGAAUUGAAGCCCCAGUAAACGGCGGCCGUAACUAUAACGGUCCUAAGGUAGCGAAAUUCCUUGUCGGGUAAGUUCCGACCCGCACGAAAGGCGUAAUGAUUUGGGCACUGUCUCAACGAGAGACUCGGUGAAAUUUUAGUACCUGUGAAGAUGCAGGUUACCCGCGACAGGACGGAAAGACCCCAUGGAGCUUUACUGCAGUUUGAUAUUGAGUGUCUGUACCACAUGUACAGGAUAGGUAGGAGUCUAAGAAAUCGGGACGCCAGUUUCGAAGGAGACGCUGUUGGGAUACUACCCUUGUGUUAUGGCCACUCUAACCCAGAUAGGUGAUCCCUAUCGGAGACAGUGUCUGACGGGCAGUUUGACUGGGGCGGUCGCCUCCUAAAAGGUAACGGAGGCGCCCAAAGGUUCCCUCAGAAUGGUUGGAAAUCAUUCGCAGAGUGUAAAGGUAUAAGGGAGCUUGACUGCGAGAGCUACAACUCGAGCAGGGACGAAAGUCGGGCUUAGUGAUCCGGUGGUUCCGUAUGGAAGGGCCAUCGCUCAACGGAUAAAAGCUACCCUGGGGAUAACAGGCUUAUCUCCCCCAAGAGUUCACAUCGACGGGGAGGUUUGGCACCUCGAUGUCGGCUCGUCGCAUCCUGGGGCUGUAGUCGGUCCCAAGGGGUGGGCUGUUCGCCCAUUAAAGCGGCACGCGAGCUGGGUUCAGAACGUCGUGAGACAGUUCGGUCCCUAUCCGUCGCGGGCGUAGGAAAUUUGAGAGGAUCUGCUCCUAGUACGAGAGGACCAGAGUGGACUUACCGCUGGUGUACCAGUUGUCUUGCCAAAGGCAUCGCUGGGUAGCUAUGUAGGGAAGGGAUAAACGCUGAAAGCAUCUAAGGUGUGAAACCCACCUCAAGAUGAGAUUUCCCAUGAUUAUAUAUCAGUAAGAGCCCUGAGAGAUGAUCAGGUAGAUAGGUUAGAAGUGGAAGUGUGGCGACACAUGUAGCGGACUAAUACUAAUAGCUCGAGGACUUAUCCAA